CAGCCGCCGCGGUAAUACGUAGGUGGCAAGCGUUGUCCGGAAUUAUUGGGCGUAAAGGGCUCGCAGGCGGUUUCUUAAGUCUGAUGUGAAAGCCCCCGGCUCAACCGGGGAGGGUCAUUGGAAACUGGGAAACUUGAGUGCAGAAGAGGAGAGUGGAAUUCCACGUGUAGCGGUGGAAUGCGUAGAGAUGUGGAGGAACACCAGUGGCGAAGGCGACUCUCUGGUCUGUGACUGACGCUGAGGAGCGAAAGCGUGGGGAGCGAACAGGAUUAGAUACCCGUGUAGUCCCUGUCUCUUAUAC
This 301-nucleotide ribosomal RNA is filed under the name uncultured bacterium. Its description in RNAcentral is "partial 16S ribosomal RNA". It matches the Rfam family "Bacterial small subunit ribosomal RNA", at positions 509 to 807 of the family's 1533-position model. The record is from RNAcentral.